This 313-nucleotide RNase P RNA is filed under the name Muriicola jejuensis. Its description in RNAcentral is "RNase P RNA component class A". It matches the Rfam family "Bacterial RNase P class A". Rfam says of the family: Ribonuclease P (RNase P) is a ubiquitous endoribonuclease, found in archaea, bacteria and eukarya as well as chloroplasts and mitochondria. Its best characterised activity is the generation of mature 5'-ends of tRNAs by cleaving the 5'-leader elements of precursor-tRNAs. Lineage: Bacteria; Pseudomonadati; Bacteroidota; Flavobacteriia; Flavobacteriales; Flavobacteriaceae. The record is from RNAcentral.
CGAGCAGAUCACCUUAUCGCUCCCCGGUAUAAACGGGGGGAGGAAAGUCCGGACACCGUAGUGCAGCAUAGCGGGUAACGCCCGUCUUCCCGUUUCGGCGGGAAAGGACAAGUGCAACAGAAAGCAAGUACAGGUAAUGCUGUAGUGAAAUCAGGUAAACUCUAUGCGGUGAAACGCCAUGUAAAUCAGCGACUGAGGGCGGCACGUCCGAGCUGAAGGGUAGGCGGAUAGAAUGUGCGGGUAACCGUUCAUCCAGAUAAAUGAUAAGGGCCCUUCUCAGGGAACAGAAUCCGGCUUAUGAUCUGCUCAUUCU